Picea glauca (white spruce) is the source of this 94-nucleotide non-coding RNA. NCBI's taxonomy places the organism in Eukaryota, Viridiplantae, Streptophyta, Pinopsida, Pinales, Pinaceae. The record is from Rfam.
CCUCCUGGCUAUGUCCAUAUGAUGGUUAAGCACGCUUGAGCCAGAGGCGUCUUGGGAUGGGUGACCACCUGGGAAGUCCUGGUUACCGGGUGCA